GAAUAGAGACAAGAACCGCUGGCUAAUUACUUCAGACACAAAUAUCAACGCCUUCCAGAUGCUCUGAUCAUGGCCAGCUCAUCGAUUGGCAGUCAUUGUGAGUGGAUUUUAAAUCUCUGAGCUGA
RNAcentral lists this long non-coding RNA (125 nucleotides) under Ictidomys tridecemlineatus (thirteen-lined ground squirrel). Its description in RNAcentral is "lncRNA (ENSSTOG00000031589.1)". The record is from RNAcentral. Lineage: Eukaryota; Metazoa; Chordata; Mammalia; Rodentia; Sciuridae.